AUUAAUAUAUAAAUACUCUAGUUGCCUUAUACUUGAUUGCCUAAUUAUGACGUCUGUGUUUUGUAUCAAUUUCCAGAGUCCAAGUAGGAUUUAGCUCAACUUGUAUGCUAUGCAGCUGGCUUAAUAGCACACCUUCCACUGGCUGCUUUCCAUGCCUUUUAUCAUGUCUCCACCUGUGUUAUCUGAACUGCUCAAGCAUACUACUGACAAAUGAAUCCUGGUCUCAGGAUCGCUAAUAAGGAGAACCCAAAUGACAGCCUACACAUUGCAAAGAGCCACCUGAGUGGGGAAUGAUGAUGUUAUUAUUUUGAUAAAUUAGAAACAUAAAGCUGAAGAACUUUUAGUGUUUGGGGCUUUCCGGGGUGCAGAAGGAAUGGAUAAGUGAAGGGAUCUGGGUGAUAGCCUGAGGCAGGGUUAGAAAUAGAGCAAGGCAGUGUCUGGCUGAGCCCAAGGAUUAGCCUACGGGCAGACCAUCAGACUUCAGCGCAGAAAAAACACUUUUGAAACCCAGUAAUGGUCUCUAGGUUCAUAAAUAUAUUUCCAGCAAAGGAAGGCGUGGUAGCAAAUUGCACCUCAGACACAUUCCAAUAUGGGGGAACAUCCAGAGCAUAGAACUUUAGCCCUAAAAGGGAUCUUACCAGCUCAUACCAAUUCACCUUUAUAACCUGUUUUUCUGACACUUCCAACAGAUUGAUUUAUAAAAUGUCCCCGGGAAAAAAAUCAAUAAAUAAUGAUAGUACUAGAUUAUUACCCAUACAUUAAAAUAAGAAGCCACGAGUUCAUACUGAUUAAAAAAUUGAAAGAAUGAAUAAAUGGUAGGUAAUGUAUGGUUCUGCUGAAAGCAGAAUUGCAACUAAUAAAUUUAGAAUAUACAAAAUACAACAGUCGCUUCAGUAAGGAAUCAUUUAUGGAUGCUAGGCAAAAGCGUGAUGAGAAAUAAAAUAUUUACAUAAUUCCAAAGCAUCUCCCCACAUGAUACUAAAUACAAAAAGAAAAAUAAUAACUUACAGUGUAGAAAUCUGGCAGAUAUCACCUUAGCUUCACCAGUAAUAAGACCUAUGGGCAUCAUGGGUGUGAGAUAAGCAUGAUGUCACAAGAAGGCACAGCAGAAUUUUUGUGGCACUCUUGGCACGAAUACAUAGUCCUGAGAAAACAUCAGACUAAAGCACGGAGUACUUUACAAAUUAACACUCCAGUACUCUGGAGAAAUAUCAAGGUUAUGAAAGACAAAGGUCAAUGAAAGAACCUUUCCAGAUUAAAGGAAAAUAGGAAUCCAGGACAACAAAAUGAAUCCUCAUCUUACAUUAGAGCCUGGGGUGAGCAUUUGCUGCAACACAGGGUGAAUUUUUACUUCUAUUGCCUUGAGGACAUUCAUUGGAAACAUCAUGUUGCACUUGAUGGAGACUCUCCUGAUGAAAAGGCAUCUUUAUGGUAAGAUAAUCUGGCAUAUAAGUAAAUCCCACCGGCUCACAACUUUGUAAGGUGCUGAAGAGGAUGAAGCUCCUUAUCCCUGAAAGACCAGUGUGUUUUUUUACGGAAUAUCUAAAGCUUUAUGACCCAAGAAUACCUUUCUCAAGGACCCAGGAGCUACUUCUUCGAAAUGCAAUCUUCAAGCGAGACAGAACCCCACGUGUAUCUCCAGUUUCUUUGGGAAGAUUUGAUAAAAUUGCAAAGCAAGCUCUCACUAGUAUAUUUCAAAGAAUUUGACAAACUUAUUCUGGAUUUAUGGAAUAGAAAAGAGCUAAGAAAAGUCAAGACACUGAUGAAGAAGAAUGAUCAGGCUUAUGAUGAAAAAAUACAAUUGGCAUCACAAGACCUAUUUCAUUAUACCUCAUGGAUCCUGGAAUUUCCUUCUCCACUUCCUUCUUAAAUCCUGAAUGGAACUGUAAGAAGAAUAUAAGAAAGCAAAAAGAACACAGAGGAGGCAUUGACUAUGCAAAUUUGCCAAUAAUUAGGGAUUUGUACUCACUUAUCAUUGGAGGAGUGAUAUUAUACCUCAUUUUAGCCUCGCAGAAACCCUUAGAGCUGGCUUCACUGAAAGUCAAAUCCAGUGACAACUCAGCCAGAAUAAAUGAGUGUCCUGCUAAGUAAUGUUACGCAGAUUCUUCUGUGAAAGGAAUUCAAGACAGCCUUGACAUCCAUCUAUCAAGCAUGACUUGGAACUAAAGAAGAUGACCACCAGAAAAGCCAAUGAAUAAAAUAUCCCCAAUAAAAGUUG
This is a long non-coding RNA of Felis catus (domestic cat), 2218 nucleotides long. RefSeq lists it as uncharacterized. The transcript has 8 exons. NCBI's taxonomy places the organism in Eukaryota, Metazoa, Chordata, Mammalia, Carnivora, Felidae. The record is from RefSeq and is a predicted model, not a curated record.